This 954-nucleotide non-coding RNA is filed under the name Pharomachrus pavoninus. RNAcentral describes it as "partial 12S ribosomal RNA". It matches the Rfam family "Bacterial small subunit ribosomal RNA". Lineage: Eukaryota; Metazoa; Chordata; Aves; Trogoniformes; Trogonidae. The record is from RNAcentral.
AAAGACUUAGUCCUAACCUUACUGUUAAUUUUAGCUAGACAUAUACAUGCAAGUAUCCGCACUCCAGUGUAAAUGCCCUUACCCUCUCUUUACAGAUAAAGGAGCAGGCAUCAGGCACGCCCCGGCAGCCCAAGACGCCUUGCUUAGCCACACCCCCACGGGUAUUCAGCAGUAAUUAACAUUAAGCAAUAAGUGAAAACUUGACUUAGUCAUAGCUACUUUAGGGCUGGUAAAUCUUGUGCCAGCCACCGCGGUCACACAAGAAGCCCAAAUUAACCGUCACACGGCGUAAAGAGUGGUACAACAUUAUCCAGACAACUAAGAUUGAACUAUAACUAAGCUGUCAUAAGCUAAAGAUAUAUAUAAGAUCUUCCCUUAAAGUGAUCUUAGCACUUCUACGACUGACGAAUCACCACGAAAGCUAGGACCCAAACUGGGAUUAGAUACCCCACUAUGCCUAGCCCUAAAUCCCGAUGCGCUACCCUACUGAGCCAUCCGCCUGAGAACUACGAGCACAAACGCUUAAAACUCUAAGGACUUGGCGGUGCCCCAAAACCACCUAGAGGAGCCUGUUCUAUAAUCGACAACCCACGAUGCACCCGACCUCCCCUUGCUAAGCAGCCUAUAUACCGCCGUCUCCAGCUCGCCCUCCAUGAAGGCCUAACAGCGAGCACAAUAGCCCUAACUCUCGCUAGUAAGACAGGUCAAGGUAUAGCUAACGGGGUGGAAGAAAUGGGCUACAUUUUCUAAAAUAGAAUAAACUCUAAACGAAAAGGGGCGUGAAAUCGCCCCCGGAAGGCGGAUUUAGCAGUAAAAAGAGACAAUAAAGCUCUCUUUAAGCCGGCUCUGAGGCACGUACAUACCGCCCGUCACCCUCCUCACAGGCUACCAGAUAAACCAUAACUAAUGUACUUUUAUGCUAAAGAUGAGGUAAGUCGUAACAAGGUAAGUGUA